GAUCCUGGCUUAGGAUGAACGCUAGCUACAGGCUUAACACAUGCAAGUCAGGGGCAUCAGGCGAUAGCUUGCUAUUGCCGCUGGCGACCGGCGCACGGGUGAGUAACGCGUAUCCAACUCCCCCUUAGUAGAGGAUAGCCCGGCGAAAGUCGGAUUAAUACUCUAUGUUCUUCAAUGCGGACAUCUAACUUGAAGCAAAGAUUGAUCGCUAAGGGAUGGGGAUGCGUCUGAUUAGCUUGUCGGCGGGGUAACGGCCCACCGAGGCGACGAUCAGUAGGGGUUCUGAGAGGAAGGUCCCCCACAUUGGUACUGAGACACGGACCAAACUCCUACGGGAGGCAGCAGUGAGGAAUAUUGGUCAAUGGGCGUAGGCCUGAACCAGCCAAGUAGCGUGCAGGAAUGACUGCCCUAUGGGUUGUAAACUGCUUUUAUGCGGGAAUAAAGUCAGGUACGUGUACCUGUUUGUAUGUACCGCAUGAAUAAGGACCGGCUAAUUCCGUGCCAGCCGCAGC
Molecule: ribosomal RNA, 512 nt
Filed under: uncultured bacterium
Lineage: Bacteria
Description: bacterial SSU rRNA
Rfam family: Bacterial small subunit ribosomal RNA
Source: RNAcentral